GAUAAGUCGGGGCCAGAGGAGGAGGUAAGACGUAGGUGGCAAGCGUUGGCCGGAAUUGGUGGGCGUAAAGCGCGAGGAGGCGGUGCUUUAAUUGGGAUGUGAAAGGCCACGGGUCAACCGGGGAGGGUCAUUGGAAGCUGGUGGACUUGAGUGCAUAAGAGGAAAGCGGAAUUCAACGUGUAGCGGUGAAAUGCGUAGAGAUGUGGAGGAACACCAGUGGCGAAGGCGGCUUUCUGGUCUGUAACUGACGCUGAGGCGCGAAAGCGUGGGGAGCAAACAGGAUUAGAUACCCUUGUAGUC
This 300-nucleotide ribosomal RNA is filed under the name uncultured Lactobacillus sp. Its description in RNAcentral is "bacterial SSU rRNA". It matches the Rfam family "Bacterial small subunit ribosomal RNA", at positions 496 to 795 of the family's 1533-position model. Lineage: Bacteria; Bacillati; Bacillota; Bacilli; Lactobacillales; Lactobacillaceae. The record is from RNAcentral.